CCCUUUCAAUUAACUUUAGACAUUCAAUUACAGAGGAAUUCAUGAGUUUACUGGAAGAGGGUCCCCGGGAGUCCCAGCGGGAGAGACUGCGGCAGAUAGCAGCCAUAAUAAUUCAGAAGACCUGGAGAAGAUUUUUGUGCAGAGAGGUCUUCAAGUAUUUCAAAGAGCUCGUCAGCCAUUGCAACCAGCGGGAUCCCAAAACGAUCCUCAAAUCUGUCAAUCCUCGAGAGGCAGAGUUACUGGAUGCUGCUGCUGGUGUGUUCAUCAGAUUUCGACUUGGAGGGAUUACCUUUCCUCCCAACAUCUAUUACAAGAUAUUCACCCAUCGACCCAUCACAGACGUGUGUGCCAGCAGCCCAAAGGACUACACCCAGCUCGACCUUAAGAAAGCUGUGGCCCGACAGACCAACAAUAGCUGGCCUCUUGUGCAGGAGGACCGAUCAGGAUGGUACCAGCGCCUGGAGAACAACAGCUGGAGGCUCUUCUGUAGCAAGGUGGUUUCCAUGGGUGAGCCUACAGAGAUCAGUGCUAACAAGAAAUUGGACUUUCACUAUUCCAGGUUGCAGCGGCAACAGGAUGUAGACAUGUGGCGGAAGAAGAGGAAAAUUGAAUGGCUGAAGCAGAUGUUUAACCAGGGUCGUCUGCAGACUCAUCCAGUGCACCAUCACAUGGCGACGACGCUGGUGGAGAUCUCAGCCCAACAGGUGAUGGACACCAUUGAAGAGAAGGGAAAUGAUGAGAUACUGGAGUGGGAGCUGGAUGAGCUCCUGGCCUGGACCAACACUCUCAACUUUGAGGAGUAUCUGCAGGAGUGGAGAGGUUUGGCCUGCAGUAACUCAUCCGAGCCAAGCAAAGAUUUCCAUUCAUAUCCACCCGGGUUAGAUCCACAUGAGUUUGCUGCUGUGGCUGAUGAAGACAGUUAGUUAGUGUUGGAGUGAGAGGAACAUCAGUUAACUUGAGCAUCAAAGCAGAUCAAACUGGCUGUAGCCUCAAACACCUGGAUACACCCAGAGAAUUGGCCUCUGCAGCAGCAUCGUACCAAAGCAUCUGAAAUGGCAAACCUG
Cottoperca gobio is the source of this 1064-nucleotide RNA transcript. It is a transcript of the gene named chromosome 20 C11orf65 homolog, with no coding region annotated. The transcript is spliced from 11 exons. The record is from RefSeq and is a predicted model, not a curated record. NCBI's taxonomy places the organism in Eukaryota, Metazoa, Chordata, Actinopteri, Perciformes, Bovichtidae.